UUUACAACGAAAAAUCACAACUCACAAAAUCGAAAAAACACAAAUCAAAGUAAAGUGUAUUUUUCGCGAUAUCUAGCUUAACUAACUAGCAAAGGCUGAAGAAAUGGCUAAGUCUACUUACUUCGUUAGCCUCCUUGCACUUUCUCUCAUUUUCAUGCUUGUAGUGAACACUGAAAUUCAAAUGGCGGAAGCAAAAACCUGUGGAUGGUUAUACAAAGCUUGGUGGACAGAUAACUGCUCCUACAAGUGCAAGAACGUCUGGGAUGCCUACUAUGGAAAGAAAGAGUGGUACAAUGGCAAAUGGGCUUGCUUCUGUUACUAUGGACCUUGUUAAGAUACUGCUCAUGCCCUAUAAUCGAUAAAAAGGAGAAAAAUCGCGACUUAAUUACCCUCUAAUAAUCUAAUUAUAAUUACUGUGAAAUAAAUUGUAUUAUUAUGAGAAUAAUACAUAUGUCAAAGUGUGGGCUGCUACGUACUUAGUAGAAUUGAAAUAAGCCUAUAAGUUACUAUAUGUAAUAUAAGUAUAACUUGCAUGAAUAAAGAGGGUUUGAACUUUGAAAUCUUUGAA
Chenopodium quinoa (quinoa) is the source of this 568-nucleotide long non-coding RNA. RefSeq lists it as uncharacterized. Lineage: Eukaryota; Viridiplantae; Streptophyta; Magnoliopsida; Caryophyllales; Amaranthaceae. The record is from RefSeq and is a predicted model, not a curated record. The transcript is spliced from 2 exons.